This 343-nucleotide ribosomal RNA is filed under the name uncultured bacterium. RNAcentral's name for it is "bacterial SSU rRNA". It matches the Rfam family "Bacterial small subunit ribosomal RNA", at positions 151 to 507 of the family's 1533-position model. The record is from RNAcentral.
GGGAAACCGGGGCUAAUACCGAAUAUUGAACAUAAGCGGCAUCGCUGAGUUUUGAAAGAAUUUCGGUGGAGGAUGAGCUCGCGGCCUAUCAGCUUGUUGGUGAGGUAACGGCUCACCAAGGCCGACGACGGGUAACCGGCCUGAGAGGGUGACCGGUCACACUGGGACUGAGACACGGCCCAGACUCUACGGGAGGCAGCAGUGGGGGAAUAUUGCACAAUGGGCGCAAGCCUGAUGCAGCAACGCCGCGUGAGGGAUGAAGGCCUUCCGGGUUGUAAACCUCUUUUAGCAGGGAAGAAGCGAAAGUGACGGUACCUGCAGAAAAGCACCGGCUAACUACGUG